This 497-nucleotide ribosomal RNA is filed under the name uncultured bacterium. Its description in RNAcentral is "partial 16S ribosomal RNA". It matches the Rfam family "Bacterial small subunit ribosomal RNA", at positions 28 to 507 of the family's 1533-position model. The record is from RNAcentral.
GAUGAACGCUGGCGGCGUGCCUAAUACAUGCAGGUCGAGCGAACGGACGAGAAGCUUGCUUCUCUGAUGUUAGCGGCGGACGGGUGAGUAACACGUGGAUAACCUACCUAUAAGACUGGGAUAACUUCGGGAAACCGGAGCUAAUACCGGAUAAUAUUUUGAACCGCAUGGUUCAAAAGUGAAAGACGGUCUUUCUGUCACUUAUAGAUGGAUCCGCGCUGCAUUAGCCAGUUGGUAAGGUAACGGCUUACCAAGGCAACGAUGCAUAGCCGACCUGAGAGGGUAAUCGGCCACACUGGAACUGAGACACGGUCCAGACUCCUACGGGAGGCAGCAGUAGGGAAUCUUCCGCAAUGGGCGAAAGCCUGACGGAGCAACGCCGCGUGAGUGAUGAAGGUCUUCGGAUCGUAAAACUCUGUUAUUAGGGAAGAACAUAUGUGUAAGUAACUGUGCACAUAUUGACGGUACCUAAUCAGAAAGCCACGGCUAACUACGUG